AGUGCUAAAGGAGAUGUUAAAUUUAUUCCCCAAAAAAAUUCCUAGAGGCUUUUCACUGAAGCACUUUAUUACAUCAUUAAGAUUUUUAUUUGUUUUUUGACAAAGUUAAGAUUAUUUGAAGUGUAAGGGAAGAACCAAUCAGAAACCCAUCAAAGAAAUUCCAAUAACAGAAACAACAAUUCCCAAGAGGCUUCUUCUUUGGAGAACAUCAGACCCAAGAAAAGAAUGGCAUCUUUGCUUUUUUAUGACAAUGAUUGCAACACAACUAAAAUUAUCCACAAGAGCUUUCAUUUUAUCAUUUAGUCCAUUCUGACUCUAACUCUUCUUGUGGACUCAGGGAUAAAUAGCAUCAGAUAAUAGCUGGCAUUUUAUUAAUUACAGAGCUGCUUGAAGAGUAAAAAGGAAAUGUUUUCUUAUGAAUAGUCAUAUUCAUCUGGUCCUAUUUUGUACUUCUCUGAUCUCAGAUUUUGUAUGUAUAUGAUUCUCUAUACAAUAGAGUAUUUCUGUGUUUAGAGAAUUAAUUAAUUCUGUCCUAUAAAGAUAGAUUAUAGUGUGUGUGUGUGUGUGUGUGUGUGUGUGUGUGUGCAGGAGGUUUUAGAAGAUAGGCUGUAAUAUGAAGUUUGAAGAAUAACAUUUAAAGUUCUCACAUCAGAUAUUAAAUUUCAUAAUUCACAAUUAGUAGCUUCUGUUUCUAUAAACAAUCAAAAUAAUUUGUGAAAGGUCAUAAGGGAUAUUUUUGAGACACAUUGAGCAAUGAGUUUAAAGUAUUAUGAUUUAUUCAAAAAGAUGGAGACAUGAAACACUUGGACAAUGAAAGAAUAGCUAAAAGAAAAUGCUUGACUUUACCAUUCAUCUUUAGAUUUUUUAAAAUCAUAUAAUAAAAUUCCUCAAACAUUAAUUGAUCUAACAUUCUAAGUUACCUCAAAAUUAAUUGAGUUCCCUUUCCAAAAAAGUAUAAGUUUCAGUGUAAGCAUAUGGCCUCAGACCUCUGUCAAGGAUGAUCCCAAAAUCAUAGAUUUUGAUCUAGAAGGAACCUUAAAAUCCAUUGGGUAAAAUCCUUUCAUUUUACAGGAAACUGGGGCACAAUGAUGUUAAGAAGAUUGCCCAGGAUCAUAUAGCAAGUAAACAUCAUAUAUGCUAUUUUCCUGACCCCAAAUCCAGUACUCAUUUCACUUAAUAUAGAUGCUUUCUUUUGAUAAAGUGUAGAGUUUACACUGAUGGACAAAUGCAAUGCUGCAUUGACCCCAAAUGUCUUUCUAUCCACCAAUUUUAGGACUCAGAAAUCAAAUUUUUUUUUCUC
This 1300-nucleotide long non-coding RNA is filed under the name Sarcophilus harrisii (Tasmanian devil). RNAcentral describes it as "lncRNA (ENSSHAG00000029284.1)". The record is from RNAcentral. Lineage: Eukaryota; Metazoa; Chordata; Mammalia; Dasyuromorphia; Dasyuridae.